AGCCCUGAGGUGUUUGCAUGUCAGAUUGCAAAUCUGAAGGAGCAGGCUUACCCCUGCCGGGGCUU
Molecule: transfer RNA, 65 nt
Filed under: Bedotia geayi (Madagascar rainbowfish)
Lineage: Eukaryota; Metazoa; Chordata; Actinopteri; Atheriniformes; Bedotiidae
Description: tRNA-Cys
Source: RNAcentral